Long non-coding RNA from Bombus terrestris (buff-tailed bumblebee), 3129 nucleotides. RefSeq lists it as uncharacterized. NCBI's taxonomy places the organism in Eukaryota, Metazoa, Arthropoda, Insecta, Hymenoptera, Apidae. The record is from RefSeq and is a predicted model, not a curated record. The transcript has 2 exons.
ACUCGCUUUAGGUAUAAGUAUAACUUAUCUUUUAAUUAUAAUUUUACCUUUGAAUAAAGGUAUAAUAGAAUUUAUUGAGAGUAAUUUUUCCUUUCUAACUAAAAUAUCUUGUGUAUCAUUUCGAAGCUGACAAAAACUAACGUUUCAUUGUGCCACCUUUGUUUUUCUUGAUUUAAUUUAAAAUAUUUGGUCAUUAUCUCGUAACAACGUACAUAAUCAAGCUAUAUUAGAUCACAAUAGAGACUAAUAGAAAACGUGGGAUUAUUUUUAAAAAAUUCGUUUCGUUUCAAAAUCCAAACUAUCAAAAUCUAUCCUGUGCACUUCGCGGACAAUUCAACCGGACAUCGAACAACCGACACGUUUUCGAGGAACACUCGACUCACCCUUAUCGAUCUUAAGCGAAACGUAAGAUAGAGUUACCGCCUCGGUAACCCCUAUUUUCGGCCUUAUGAUCGUUUCCACUUCGUAGCGAUGGUUUAAUGCCGUCUAGACCGGAUGGGUCGCGAGUAUAUUCAUCAAGUGAAAUCGCCUAUUACGUCCCUCUAAAUCGGUAUGCGUUUAGGAGAAACCUGGCUGCAGGACAACGUCUCGAACGCGAGAAAAAGAGGCGAAGAACCGAUAGGAAAUAGAAAAAGAGACAGUGGAACAGGAGUAGAUAAAUAGGAGGGGACACGAAAGGUUCGGAGAAAGCUUGGCAAAGAUUCAAACAGUGAUUGCAAGGGCCUGCCUGUCUCAGCGAAGCGCGUCCGGAAUAUUUCCCCUUUUCUCUGUGUCUGGACCUUUGUUCAUCUCGCCAACUUUCUCUCUUUCUCCCUUCUUCCCGAUCUUAUUUAUCCCCUUCUUAUUUCUCGUGAAGGCGCCCUUUUUUCCCGCCGCGUGCCCAAGUCCAGUUCGUGCUCCUUUUUCACGAUUGAGGUGGAGAAGGACUCGACCGUAUUGACAGAAAUGCGGUGAAAUAUUCGGUGACGACUUAUAUCGCGAAAAAAGCGCGAACGUGGCGAUAUCCUCGUAUAUUAGGAUUUUGGAAUCUUAGCCUCGUAAUAAGAGAGGAAGGAAGCACCGGACGAUUUUAAGCGAAUUUGUGGCUAGUGGUUGCAGAACUAUGAUGUCCGGGGGAGAUAUAAACCUCUUGAAGCCAGAGUAAUAUGUACCGUGAUUCCAAAUUGAUGGUAUUUCUUCGACCUCGUUAAGAGAAAACGAUAAAUGUGACGAUAUAAGAAGUGUUCGAAGCUUUUAGUGGUGUUUGGAAGAUAUUAGGGAAAGCCUUGUUGUUGAUGAGUUUCCAGUACUUGUUGCGAAUACGAGUGAGCACAUUUAAAAGUGCGACGAUGUUGUUGAAUGAUAAAUACGGUAAGUAGUAGUAGGAUUCUGUAUUCUGUAGUAGUAGUAUUCUGCAAACAUUAACUUGAACAUGAAAUCAAUAAAAUUGAUUUUUUGAUACCAGUUUGACAUAUAUACCAAGAGUACAAUUAUUUGUAAUAAUUGCCGCCACUUUGGAUUUCGUUAAUUUUUUAGUAUGCUGUCGGGAGUAUGAUUCUGAACAACUUUUAUCUAUACAUGUAACCGCCACUUGGCCUUAGUUUCCAAAUAUGUGCGAGAAAUCAUCGGUAUCACUACACUGAGUUCUUCCUAUAAUUGUGUUUCCGUGACAAGGUAUGCGUUAGUAUUGGUUGGCAGCCACCUCACGGCGGCGACCGGAUAAGAUAACGCCUAACCCAAACCUAAUUCUUAUCUUUUGUUUAUAGUUUAUAUAGGUUUGGGUUUGGUGUCAUUUAUUCGGCCGUCGUAAGAGAACCAAUAUUAACGUAUACGCUGUCACGGACGCGCGAUUAAGCAGAAAAUUCACUGCAAUUGGUACCGACAGUUUUCCUGGAAAUAUCUCCAAAUCUAAAAGAAUCCGGUAACAUACAAAGAAAAUAGUCGUUCAAAGUAUUGAUUUCUACGACAUAUUAAAGAAAUCAAAGAGAUCCAAGAUGGUACCGACUUUCUGAAUAAUUACCGUGCAUUUUAUUAGCGCUAGGUUUACAGAUACGCGUCAAUUUGACGUAAUCGAAAUGUCCAUACACCUAGGGUUAAAAUAAUACGUAUUUUAUUCGCUUUGUAUUUUUCUCUGCUUACUUUUAUAACUUUGUUGAAAUACAUUGCCGUUGAAUAUUUCUUCUUGUUUCACUUGGUUCUAUACAAUAUCUUUCCAUCAAAUGACCCCAGCGGAGCCUUGCCUCACAGACAAGGAGUAGAAAAGGGAUGGGGGGUACAUACGUAUGUGUACGUAUAUACUUUGGUUUCUGUCCACGAAGCCUCGUGUCACUUACAAAGAUGUCGAGUAAUGCAAAGGAAAAUUCUAUACAAUCAUAUUGGACAUAGAAGAAAAACGAGAGAAUUUUUAUACUUGCGAAAAUAUUGUUGAAAUGUUUGUCUUUACUUCUAUGGAACUUUUUAAAGUAAAAUAAAGAAAUGAUGAAAAGUCCGACUUCUAUCGUAGGUCUACGAGCGUCACCGCAUACGUUAUGCUACUUAUGCAUACAUUAUGCAUACGUUAUUAUACUGUUACGUUACAUAACAUUACAACACUUGUCGUAACGGCAGUUACUUCAACGCGCGUGUGAUUGCACAAUGCACAGAAAUCAAAAACUUAAUCGCGUGGUUAUCUUACGUUCGUCACUGGAGAUAUACAUAUGGAAGGCAAAAUUAUUUUAAAAUAUUUUCUCUACGAAUGCCCUUAAAAUCUGGCAUUCGCUAUCUCGAUAUCUAAAGUUAUCGCACAAACUCGCAAAAGUACUUAUUCGAAUACUUAUGGAAGAUACUUUAUGUACGAGCGUUGAUGAAUUUUGCUAUUCAUACAGCAAAUUGAACGAAAAGAUGAAAACGAAGAGGGAAUACAUGGCGAAGAUAAAGUUUCCUUUCACGUUAAUGAAUUUGCGAGGCUGUAUUUAACGAACGAGAAAAAUGUUUGGAUGAAUGGAUAAUGAAUGAGCUUCGCUUGUGUUGCAAGCACGGUAUGUGAAAUAACGUUUAUUGAAAUUGUCCGAGACGGGCGAGGGAAUUUUUAUUAAUAUGAAAGAAUUCCUCGGAUACUUGUACAUCGAGUGUAAUUACUGAGAAGAAUAAAGGAUACUUGAGUAUCGUGAA